RNAcentral lists this ribosomal RNA (481 nucleotides) under uncultured bacterium. RNAcentral's name for it is "partial 16S ribosomal RNA". It matches the Rfam family "Bacterial small subunit ribosomal RNA", at positions 28 to 507 of the family's 1533-position model. The record is from RNAcentral.
GACGAACGUUGGCGGCGUGCUUAAUACACGCAAGUCCACUGAAGCAGUGGUAGCAAUAUCGCUGUGGAGGUGGCGCACGGGUGAGUAACACGUAGGUAAUCUGCCUUCAGGUCUGGCAUAACUCCGGGAAACCGGGGCUAAUAGCAGAUGAUGCAGCGGCUCGACAUCGAGACAGUUGUUAAAGCUAUGGCGCCUGAAGAUGAGCCUGCGUCUGAUUAGCUAGUUGGCGGGGUAACGGCCCGCCAAGGCAACGAUCAGUAGCUGGUCUGAGAGGAUGAUCAGCCACACUGGAACUGAGACACGGUCCAGACUCCUACGGGAGGCAGCAGUAAGGAAUAUUGCUCAAUGGGAGAAAUCCUGAAGCAGCAACGCCGCGUGAGGGACGAAGGGCUUUGGCUUGUAAACCUCUGUAGUGAGAGAAAAAAAUCCCAAUCUUUGGGACAUGAUGGUAGCUCAAAAGUAAGCCCCGGCUAACUACGUG